Molecule: ribosomal RNA, 376 nt
Filed under: uncultured bacterium
Lineage: Bacteria
Description: bacterial SSU rRNA
Rfam family: Bacterial small subunit ribosomal RNA
Source: RNAcentral
UACGGAGGGGGCCAGCGUUGUUCGGAAUUAUUGGGCGUAAAGGGCGCGUAGGUGGCCAUGCAAGUCGGAGGUGAAAUCCCUCGGCUCAACCGAGGAACUGCCUCCGAUACUGCACGGCUUGAGUCCCGGAGAGGGUGGUGGAAUUCCCAGUGUAGCGGUGAAAUGCGUAGAUAUUGGGAGGAACACCGGUGGCGAAGGCGGCCACCUGGACGGGUACUGACGCUGAUGCGCGAAAGCGUGGGGAGCAAACAGGAUUAGAUACCCUGGUAGUCCACGCCGUAAACGAUGGGUACUUGGUGUUGCGGGUAUCGACCCCCGCAGUGCCGAAGCUAACGCAUUAAGUACCCCGCCUGGGGAGUACGGUCGCAAGGCUGAA